AACGAACGCUGGCGGCAUGCCUAACACAUGCAAGUCGAACGAGACCUUCGGGUCUAGUGGCGCACGGGUGCGUAACGCGUGGGAACCUGCCCUUAGGUUCGGAAUAACUCCCCGAAAGGGGUGCUAAUACCGGAUAAUGUCUUCGGGCCAAAGAUUUAUCGCCUUUGGAUGGGCCCGCGUUGGAUUAGCUAGUUGGUAGGGUAAAAGCCUACCAAGGCGACGAUCCAUAGCUGGUCUGAGAGGAUGAUCAGCCACACUGGGACUGAGACACGGCCCAGACUCCUACGGGAGGCAGCAGUGGGGAAUAUUGGACGAUGGGCGAAAGCCUGAUCCAGCAAUGCCGCGUGAGUGAUGAAGGCCUUAGGGUUGUAAAGCUCUUUUACCCGGGAUGAUAAUGACAGUACCGGGAGAAUAAGCUCCGGCUAACUCCGUG
This 433-nucleotide ribosomal RNA is filed under the name uncultured bacterium. RNAcentral's name for it is "partial 16S ribosomal RNA". It matches the Rfam family "Bacterial small subunit ribosomal RNA", at positions 29 to 507 of the family's 1533-position model. The record is from RNAcentral.